UCCACUUGCAAAAGUUAGGGUCUGCAGAGCAGAAGGCUAACUCCCGAGGGGGGAUGAAAGUUUCCCCUUCUCUGUGUAGAGAAGUUUGAAAAUGCUCGCGCCAGACAAAUGGUGGUAGUCUCUGCCCGAUAACAUGACACUGAGCGGUGACAAGUGGUCAUGUUUCUAAAUAAAACCUACAUUCAUUAACAUGUGCCAGGCUUGAUCUCCUGGAAUGUAGGCCACGAGGGUAAGAAGGGGAACAAGCUCAGUGUAAUCUGCAGGGAGGAGGCGGCCACAGGUCUAAAGAAAGGAUAUCAAAAAUAAUGCCAGCCGCAGAGGCUCCACCCUUCUGGGAGGACAGGCAAAUUUCCUUGCAGGCUGUUUGUGACACUGGAAAGGCCACUUGAAAAAGACAAACCACUCAUGUGCAGACUAACCAAACAAAACUCCGCAAGAACAGCAAAUUGUAGUAGCAAAAUGGAGCAACUUCUCCUUUUCGUCAAUUCAACCUGCCAGCUCCCUGGUUAACUGGGAUUUGAGACUGAACACAGCUUUGGGAUUCUAAGCCUUCAGAUGUCUGGACCAUUGAAUAAUUUCGGCUGAGAUGCAAGUUUUCAUAUCUUUAUGUACCAGAGCGCUGAGCUUCUGGUUUACUCAACUACUUUGCAAGUCUGCAUUCCCGCAUGAACUCCUUGGGAAGGGGCCUCUAUCACUGCAUUCUCAGAGUCCAGCAGUGGCUGUGAGGUUGAAAAGGAAGCCAAAGAAUUGCCAUGUAGGAGAACAUAGCUCAUCACAUCACAGGUUGGAGAGUUAUACAGUGCUGACUCUGUCACUCAACCUGUGUGACCAUGGACCAACCAGUGCAUUGGCAAAAUGGGUGCAGUGAUAAUGCCCACAUCAGAAGGCACUGUGAAUGUCUGAGGCAAAGUAUGUACAGCCUGCAGCAUGGCCCUUGGCACAAAGGAAGGGUUCAAGAAAUACUGGUAUAGCACUGUUGCUAAACAUUUUAAAAAUUAAAAAACGUUCAUUCCACUUUUGUUUCAGUAUCAUUAAAAGAAAUCAACUCAACUUGAGUUAGACACUCUCUGAUGACUUCCUUAUAGAAUAAAAUAGUGUUUUCAGACUCGGCUUACAGACUUGUGGUGACAUAUGUACAAAGGGCACUAUUUUAUGUGCACAGGAUAGCAAAGGAAAGUGAUCUGAGAUUUAGAAAGCAUAUUGUGGGGUGGUCCCCAAAUGGCUAUAAAUCAAGAGCAUCAGUAACAUUCUAUCUCUCCUAACUGCCAUGAUGAUGAACAUCUGCAUAAAUAUUAAAGAAUUUAUUCAUUCAUUCUUUGAAAUAUUUAUCAAGCCCACACUAUAUUCAGUAAAUUUUUUUUUUGCUGGAGAUUGAACCCAGGGUCUACCACUUGGUAGGUGAGUGUCCUACCACUAAGUCAUAGGAAUAGCGCAGGCACUUGUGCUUGUGAACCAUUAGUAACACGGAUGAGGCCGCCUGAUCGCAUGGAACUUGCAUUCCAACGGGAAGCAAAAUUUGCCUACAAGCAAGCAUCUACUUAGUCAUUCCCUCCCUUAACAGCAAAUAACAGUGCAUCAUUCAGUCCCACUAGAAUCUGUAUUGCUCCUAAAGACCUUCAUAUUUUUAUCUUGACUGUUAAUCCCUUUUAUUCAUGCUGGCUUCUGCAACAGAGACUGACUGUAAUCUGCCUCACAGGUAUGAGGAAAUAGUAUAGUUACUAUUAAGGCUAAGCACAAAAUUACAAGAACGAAGCACCUUAUUUUUAUAACUAAGUAGAGUGGCAAUUAUCAGGUUUAGCCUAAAUGUGCUAACUAAAAAUAUAACAUAAUGUGAUGCCCCUUUUUUUUCAUUUUCUGUUUGCUAUGGUAGACAAGCAGUUCCUCUUCCUUCCGCAUAUACACUGCUUUCCCAUGAAGUCCUGAAAUAAAGAGCUUUCUCUUGAGAAUAGGUAUUAUUUGGAUAUGACUCUUUCUCUCUCAGCUACAUGCAAGCAACACUAGAUUUACAAACCAGGAAGAAUUUUAAAGUUAAUGAAAGUGCCCUUUAGGAGAAUACCAUGAACGUUUUUCAAAAUGGUGGGAUAACACAGGAAGGAAGCAACUUAUUGGGUUAUUAUUAGCUAAAAUAAAAGAGGAACUGAAAAGGCUUUAAAGUCCUGCAUGCACAUGCCUAC
This is a long non-coding RNA of Chinchilla lanigera (long-tailed chinchilla), 2174 nucleotides long. RefSeq lists it as uncharacterized. The transcript has 3 exons. The record is from RefSeq and is a predicted model, not a curated record. Lineage: Eukaryota; Metazoa; Chordata; Mammalia; Rodentia; Chinchillidae.